This 564-nucleotide ribosomal RNA is filed under the name uncultured marine eukaryote. Its description in RNAcentral is "SSU rRNA". It matches the Rfam family "Eukaryotic small subunit ribosomal RNA", at positions 620 to 1201 of the family's 1831-position model. The record is from RNAcentral.
UAAAAAGCUCGUAGUCGGAUUUCAGUUUAAUUUGUUUGGCUUAUAUGUCAACACAAGUUUUACUUCAUUGAUACGAAUCUACAUCUGAUUUAUUUCCGGUGUUGCCUAGUAUCUCUUUUACUUUGAGAAAAUUAGAGUGUUCAAAGCAGGUUUUCGCCUGAAUAUUACUCUUGGAAUAAUGAUAUAGGACUUUGGUUCUAAUUUGUUGGUGUAUUAGGACCGGAGUAAUGAUUGAUAGGGACGGUUGGGGUCAUUCAUACUGCAAAGCUAGAGGUGAAAUUCUUGGACCUUUGUAUGAUGAGCAACUGCGAAAGCAUUUGACUAGGACGUUCCCGUUGAUCAAGAACGAAAGUUGGGGGAUCGAAGACGAUCAGAUACCGUCGUAGUCUCAACCAUAAACUAUGCCAGCUAGGGAUGGGAAGGUGUUUAUUUAUGACCCUUUCCGCACCUUAUGAGAAAUCAAAGCAUUUGGGUUCCGGGGGGAGUAUGGUCGCAAGGCUGAAACUUAAAGGAAUUGACGGGAGGGCACCACCAGGAGUGGAGCCUGUGGCCUUAAUUUGACUC